RNAcentral lists this transfer RNA (62 nucleotides) under Auplopus sp. SJW-2017. RNAcentral describes it as "tRNA-Val". The record is from RNAcentral. Lineage: Eukaryota; Metazoa; Arthropoda; Insecta; Hymenoptera; Pompilidae.
AAAAUUUUAGUUUAAAUAAAACAUUUCAUUUACAAUGAAAAAUUCAAAAUAUUGAAAUUUUA